This 3128-nucleotide ribosomal RNA is filed under the name Dehalococcoidia bacterium. RNAcentral describes it as "23S ribosomal RNA". It matches the Rfam family "Bacterial large subunit ribosomal RNA". The record is from RNAcentral. Lineage: Bacteria; Bacillati; Chloroflexota; Dehalococcoidia.
CUUGAAGCUACUAAGAGUCCAUGGUGGAUGCCUUGGCGCUAGACGGCGAUGAAGGACGUGGUAAGCUGCGAUAAGCCCCGGGGAGUUGCAAACAAAUGUCGAUCCGGGGAUUUCCGAAUGGGGCAACCCGGCGGGUUAAUCACCCGUCAACCCUUGGCUGAAUACAUAGGCCUUGGGUGGCGAACGCAGGGAACUGAAACAUCUUAGUACCUGCAGGAAAGAAAAGUAAAAACGACUCCCUCAGUAGCGGCGAGCGAACGGGGAAUAGCCCAAACCAGUCGAUGUGCUACAGCCAGCACGCUAUGCAUCGAUGGGGUUGUGGGAUCUGGCAGGUUCCAGUGCUGACGGAACCAGGGAGUUACAAAGUCUCAUGUUAGCGGAAUCCUUUGGAAAGAGGGACCGCAGAAGGUGAUAGUCCUGUACGCGAAAACGNNNNNNNNNCGUUGCAUGACUGGGGUUGCGGGAUUUGCUGUGGUAGCGGUGCAGUGCUACCGGAGAGUUACAAAUUAUCUGCUUAGUUGAAUUGGCAUGGAAAGGCCAGCCGGAGAAGGUGAUAGCCCUGUAGAGUAAAAGUACGAUGACUUUCUAAGCAAACUCCCAAGUACUGCGGGACACGUGGAACCCUGCAGGAAUCUGGGUGGACCAUCACCCAAGGCUAAAUACUCUCUCGUGACCGAUAGUGAACUAGUACCGUGAGGGAAAGGUGAAAAGUACCCCUGGCGGGGAGUGAAAUAGUACCUGAAACCAUACGCUUACAAACUGUCGGAGUCCCGACUUGUCGGGAUGACGGCGUGCCUUUUGCAUAAUGAGCCUACGAGUUGGUGUCUGUGGCAAGCUUAAGUCCUUCUGGGACGGAGGCGUAGCGAAAGCGAGUCCGAACAGGGCGAUUCAGUCGCUGGGUGUAGACCCGAAACCAGAUGAUCUACCCAUGGCCAGGAUGAAGGUUGGGUAACACCAGCUGGAGGUCCGAACCCACUACCGUUGAAAAGGUAGGGGAUGAGCUGUGGGUAGGGGUGAAAGGCCAAACAAAUCUGGAGAUAGCUGGUUCUCUCCGAAAGCUAUUUAGGUAGCGCGUCGUGUAUCACUUCUGGGGGUAGAGCACUGUAAUGGUUGUGGGGGUCAUUGCGACUUACCGCGCCAUAGCAAACUCCGAAUACCGGAAAGUGCGAGCACGGCAGACAGACUUGGGGUGCUAACGUCCUGAGUCGAGAGGGAAACAACCCAGACCGCCGAUUAAGGUCCCGAAGACACAGUUAAGUGGGAAACGAGGUGGGAAGGCUUAGACAGCCAGGAGGUUGGCUUAGAAGCAGCCAUCCUUUAAAGAAAGCGUAAUAGCUCACUGGUCGAGUCGUCCUGCGCGGAAAAUGUAACGGGGCUCAAACUGUGCACCGAAAUCGCGGAUAUGUACUUGUACAUAUGGUAGGAGAGCGUUCCGUAGGCCGUUGAAGGUGGGGUGUGAACCCUGCUGGAGGUAUCGGAAGUGCGAAUGCUGACAUGAGUAGCGAUAAAGCGGGUGAAAGGCCCGCUCGCCGAAAGCCCAAGGUUUCCUGCGCAACGUUCAUCGGCGCAGGGUGAGUCGGCUCCUAAGGCGAGGCCGAAAGGCGUAGUCGAUGGGAAACAGGUUAAUAGUCCUGUACCUUUAUGCAAUGCGAUGGGGGGACGGAGAAGGUUAGGUGGGCCGGGUGUUGGACGUCCUGGUUCAAGCGUGUAGGCGUGCCCGAUAGGCAAAUCCGUUGGGCUUAGCCGAGGCGUGAUGACGCAAGACUCUUUUGAGUCCCAAGCCACUGAGACCCCGCUUCCAGGAAAAGCCUCUAAGCUUCAGUUGCAUGAAGACCGUACCGCAAACCGACACAGGUGGGCAGGAUGAAGAUUCUAAGGCGCUUGAGAGAACUCAGGAGAAGGAACUCGGCAAAUUAGCACCGUAACUUCGGGAGAAGGUGCGCCCCGGUAGUGUGUAGCGGCUUGCCCGUGAAGCGCGAUGGGGUUGCAGUGAAUUGGUGGCUGCGACUGUUUAAUAAAAACACAGCACUCUGCAAAGGCGAAAGCCGACGUAUAGGGUGUGACGCCUGCCCGGUGCCGGAAGGUUAAGUGAUGGGGUGCAAGCUCUUGAUCGAAGCCCCGGUAAACGGCGGCCGUAACUAUAACGGUCCUAAGGUAGCGAAAUUCCUUGUCGGGUAAGUUCCGACCUGCACGAAUGGCGUAACGACCGGAGCACUGUCUCAACAAGGGACUCGGCGAAAUUGAAGUAGCGGUGAAGAUGCCGCUUACCCACAGCUGGACGGAAAGACCCCGUGGACCUUUACUGCAGCUUGACAUUGGGUUUUGGCAAUGCAUGUGUAGGAUAGGUGGGAGGCUACGAAGCGGAGACGCCAGUCUUCGUGGAGCCAACCUUGAAAUACCACCCUUGUGUUGUUGGGAUUCUAACCUGGAGCCGUUAUCCGGUUCGGGAACAGUGUCUGGUGGGCAGUUUGACUGGGGCGGUCGCCUCCUAAAAUGUAACGGAGGCUCCCAAAGGUUCUCUCAGCGCGGUCGGCAAUCGCGCGUCGAGCGUAAAGGUAUAAGAGAGCUUAACUGCGAGACUGACAAGUCGAGCAGAUGGGAAACCAGGGCUUAGUGAUCUGGCGGUUCCGCAUGGAAGGGCCGUCACUCAAAGGAUAAAAGGUACCCCGGGGAUAACAGGCUUAUAACCCCCAAGAGUUCACAUCGACGGGGUUGUUUGGCACCUCGAUGUCGGCUCGUCUCAUCCUGGGGCUGGAGAAGGUCCCAAGGGUUUGGCUGUUCGCCAAUUAAAGAGGCACGCGAGCUGGGUUUAGAACGUCGUGAGACAGUUCGGUCCCUAUCCGCUGUGGGCGCAGGAGAUUUGCGAGAAGCUGUCCCUAGUACGAGAGGACCGGGAUGGACGAACCUCUAGUGCACCUGUUGUCACGCCAGUGGCAUGGCAGGGUAGCUAUGUUCGGAAGGGAUAACCGCUGAAAGCAUCUAAGUGGGAAGCCCCUCUCAAGAUAAGAUCUCCCUGGGACUUCGGUCCCCUGAAGACUCCUUGAAGAACACAAGGUCGAUAGGCCGGAGGUGUAAGUGUGGCAACACAUUCAGCCGACCGGUACUAAUAAGUCGUGAGGCUUCAUGUU